RNAcentral lists this ribosomal RNA (253 nucleotides) under uncultured bacterium. RNAcentral describes it as "partial 16S ribosomal RNA". It matches the Rfam family "Bacterial small subunit ribosomal RNA", at positions 524 to 776 of the family's 1533-position model. The record is from RNAcentral.
GACGAACCGUACGAACGUUAUUCGGAAUCACUGGGCUUAAAGGGUGUGUAGGCGGCGCGACAAGUUGGGUGUGAAAUCCCUCGGCUCAACCGAGGAACUGCGCCCAAAACUGUCGUGCUCGAGGGAGACAGAGGUGAGCGGAACUUAGGGUGGAGCGGUGAAAUGCGUUGAUAUCCUAAGGAACACCGGUGGCGAAAGCGGCUCACUGGGUCUCUUCUGACGCUGAGGCACGAAAGCUAGGGUAGCGAACGGG